GACGAACGCUGGCGGCGUGCCUAACACAUGCAAGUCGAGCGGAAAGGCCCUUCGGGGUACUCGAGCGGCGAACGGGUGAGUAACACGUGAGUAACCUGCCCCAGACUUUGGGAUAACCCUCGGAAACGGGGGCUAAUACCGGAUACGACACAGCUUCGCAUGGGGUCUGUGUGGAAAGUUUUUCGGUUUGGGAUGGGCUCGCGGCCUAUCAGCUUGUUGGUGGGGUGAUGGCCUACCAAGGCGACGACGGGUAGCCGGCCUGAGAGGGCGACCGGCCACACUGGGACUGAGACACGGCCCAGACUCCUACGGGAGGCAGCAGCGGGGAAUAUUGCACAAUGGGCGGAAGCCUGAUGCAGCGACGCCGCGUGAGGGAUGACGGCCUUCGGGUGGUAAACCUCUUUCAGCAGGGACGAAGCGUAAGUGACGGUACCUGCAGAAGAAGCGCCGGCCAACUACGU
This 461-nucleotide ribosomal RNA is filed under the name uncultured bacterium. Its description in RNAcentral is "partial 16S ribosomal RNA". It matches the Rfam family "Bacterial small subunit ribosomal RNA", at positions 28 to 506 of the family's 1533-position model. The record is from RNAcentral.